Long non-coding RNA from Contarinia nasturtii (swede midge), 1136 nucleotides. RefSeq lists it as uncharacterized. The transcript is spliced from 2 exons. Lineage: Eukaryota; Metazoa; Arthropoda; Insecta; Diptera; Cecidomyiidae. The record is from RefSeq and is a predicted model, not a curated record.
GCAUGGUUCAGUCGUAAAAAGACACAUUCGAUAUUCGGUUCUAAAAGAAUCAACUUCGUUGAAGAAAUCGACAGUCAAUUGGCAAUACAUUUUUUGAUCAUAUAUAAAAAAUAUUAUAUCACAAUGGCUACAGCAAGUGUGUCUGCAUCAAGCUGUAAAUACAAAUUCAACAUAAAAAAUCUUAACACAUUGGAUAACGUUUGUUCUGAGAAGUUUUUGGUUCAUGGCGUACCAUUUAAAUUUAAAGCUGAUAUACAGACCAGGUUUGCAGUAACUUGGCUGUAUAUGCAUUUGUUCUGUAAUGAGCAAGAACGACCGGAAAACUGGUCGAUUGGUGCAUUUGCAAAAUUCAGACUGCUGUCGCCUUUUGAUCGAGUUGGAAGGAUUGUUGAUGGGUAUCCUUUUGAUUACAACCCAUCUAUGGGGUUUGGCGUUCUUUCUUAUAUUACAUGGGACGAUUUGACGGACGUUGAAAAUGGUUUUGUAAUAGACGAUUCAAUCACUAUUGAAAUUGAAAUUCAACCCAACACAAGUAGACAUAUUGAACCAUGUUGUGAUAAAAAUCCCAUGGAUGUAGAUGGACUAACAGUCACCCAUGUCCGAUGUCAACUAGAUACAACACCAUAAAAUAUACUGAGACAUAAUCAACUCUAAAUCAGUUCAUCACCAACACCAGCUUGCGUCAAGUUCAAUGCAAAUCGUCAACUUUUUCGCCUAUUGAUUACCCAUUCGCAUUUAAACGAUUUUUUUCAAACUUUCAUUCGAAGAAAAUAUUUCCACAUUUCUCCAUUACAACGCAUUGAUAAUUCCAUUAAAUAAGGAAAGAGAGGUUAAAUUUCUAGAAAGAACACAAUUCCUAUAAAAGAAUAAAAUUAUUAUUACAAUCAUAACACGUGUUCAACUUGCAAAGAUCCCGUUACUCUGGACAAUUUGCGGCGAACUUAUCCACUAUCUACUAGAUUCAGCGAUGGAUACAACACGAUCAAAUAUACUGAGACGUAAUCAACUCUAAAUAAACUCUUACGGACUGUAUCAGUUCAACAUCAACACCAGCUUGCGUCAAGUUGUAUUUAUAAUUUCAAUCUAAGUUUUGUGUGCAAUUAAACAAUUUUUUAAAAACUUUCAUUCUAAGAAAA